RNAcentral lists this unclassified non-coding RNA (335 nucleotides) under soil metagenome. Its description in RNAcentral is "partial contains 5.8S ribosomal RNA, internal transcribed spacer 2, and large subunit ribosomal RNA". The stretch from base 1 to 120 matches the Rfam family "5.8S ribosomal RNA", at positions 35 to 154 of the family's 154-position model. The record is from RNAcentral.
GAUGAAGAACGUAGCGAAAUGCGAUAAGUAAUGUGAAUUGCAGAAUUCAGUGAAUCAUCGAAUCUUUGAACGCACAUUGCGCCCGCCAGUAUUCUGGCGGGCAUGCCUGUUCGAGCGUCAUUUCAACCAUCAAGCCCCCGGCUUGUGUUGGGGACCUGCGGCUGCCGCAGGCCCUGAAAUGCAGUGGCGGGCUCGCUGUCACUCCGAGCGUAGUAGUUACAUCUCGCUCAGGGCGUGCUGCGGGUUCCGGCCGUUAAAAAGCCUUAUUUACCCAAGGUUGACCUCGGAUCAGGUAGGAAGACCCGCUGAACUUAAGCAUAUCAAUAAGCGGAGGA